GUAGGUGGCAAGCGUUGUCCGGAAUUAUUGGGCGUAAAGCGCGCGCAGGUGGUUCUUUAAGUCUGAUGUGAAAGCCCCCGGGCUCAACCGGGGAGGGUCAUUGGAAACUGGGGAACUUGAGUGCAGGUGAGGAAAGUGGAAUUCCACGUGUAGCGGUGAAAUGCGUAGAUAUGUGGAGGAACACCAGUGGCGAAGGCGACUUUCUGGCCUGUAACUGACACUGAGGCGCGAAAGCGUGGGGAGCAAACAGGAUUAGAUACCCUGGUAGUCCACGCCGUAAACGAUGAGUGCUAAGUGUUGGGGGGUUUCCGCCCCUCAGUGCUGCAGCUAACGCAUUAAGCACUCCGCCUGGGGAGUACGGUCGCAAAGACUG
This 373-nucleotide ribosomal RNA is filed under the name uncultured organism. Its description in RNAcentral is "partial 16S ribosomal RNA". It matches the Rfam family "Bacterial small subunit ribosomal RNA", at positions 527 to 896 of the family's 1533-position model. The record is from RNAcentral.